UACGUAGGGAGCAAGCGUUGUCCGGAUUUAUUGGGCGUAAAGAGCUCGUAGGCGGCUUGGCAAGUCGGAUGUGAAACCCCCAGGCUUAACCUGGGGCCGCCAUUCGAUACUGCUAUGGCUUGAGUUCGGUAGGGGAUUGUGGAAUUCCCGGUGUAGCGGUGAAAUGCGCAGAUAUCGGGAGGAACACCAAUGGCGAAGGCAGCAAUCUGGGCCGACACUGACGCUGAGGAGCGAAAGUGUGGGGAGCAAACAGGAUUAGAUACCCUGGUAGUCCACGCCCUAAACGUUGGGCACUAGGUGUGGGACCUACUUCGACGGGUUCCGUGCCGUAGCUAACGCAUUAAGUGCCCCGCCUGGGGAGUACGGCCGCAAGGCUAAAACUCAAAGGAAUUGACGGGGGCCCGCACAAGCGGCGGAGCAUGUGGCUUAAUUCGAUGCAACGCGAAGAACCUCACCUGGGCUUGACAUGUUGGGAAAAGCCGUAGAGAUACGGUGUCCAUUAGGGCCCUUCACAGGUGGUGCAUGGCUGUCGUCAGCUCGUGUCGUGAGAUGUUGAGUUAAGUCCCGCAACGAGCGCAACCCUUGUCUUAUGUUACCAGCGAGUAAUGUCGGGGACUCAUGAGAGACUGCCGGGGUCAACUCGGAGGAAGGUGGGGAUGACGUCAAGUCAUCAUGCCCCUUAUGUCCAGGGCUGCACACAUGCUACAAUGGCCGGUACAGAGGGUCGCAAUCCCGCGAGGGGGAGCUAAUCCCACAAAGCCGGUCUCAGUUCGGAUCGCAGUCUGCAACUCGACUGCGUGAAGCCGGAGUCGCUAGUAAUCCCGAAUCAGCAUUGUCGGGGUGAAUACGUUCCCGGGCCU
Molecule: ribosomal RNA, 860 nt
Filed under: uncultured bacterium
Lineage: Bacteria
Description: bacterial SSU rRNA
Rfam family: Bacterial small subunit ribosomal RNA
Source: RNAcentral